RNAcentral lists this ribosomal RNA (464 nucleotides) under Vreelandella stevensii. RNAcentral describes it as "partial 16S ribosomal RNA". It matches the Rfam family "Bacterial small subunit ribosomal RNA", at positions 338 to 795 of the family's 1533-position model. The record is from RNAcentral. Lineage: Bacteria; Pseudomonadati; Pseudomonadota; Gammaproteobacteria; Oceanospirillales; Halomonadaceae.
CCUACGGGUGGCAGCAGUGGGGAAUAUUGGACAAUGGGGGCAACCCUGAUCCAGCCAUGCCGCGUGUGUGAAGAAGGCCCUCGGGUUGUAAAGCACUUUCAGUGAGGAAGAACGCCUGGUGGUUAAUACCCAUCAGGAAAGACAUCACUCACAGAAGAAGCACCGGCUAACUCCGUGCCAGCAGCCGCGGUAAUACGGAGGGUGCGAGCGUUAAUCGGAAUUACUGGGCGUAAAGCGCGCGUAGGUGGCUUGAUAAGCCGGUUGUGAAAGCCCCGGGCUCAACCUGGGAACGGCAUCCGGAACUGUCAAGCUAGAGUGCAGGAGAGGAAGGUAGAAUUCCCGGUGUAGCGGUGAAAUGCGUAGAGAUCGGGAGGAAUACCAGUGGCGAAGGCGGCCUUCUGGACUGACACUGACACUGAGGUGCGAAAGCGUGGGUAGCAAACAGGAUUAGAUACCUGGUAGUC